This 2579-nucleotide long non-coding RNA is filed under the name Sus scrofa (pig). RNAcentral describes it as "lncRNA (ENSSSCG00060034906.1)". Lineage: Eukaryota; Metazoa; Chordata; Mammalia; Artiodactyla; Suidae. The record is from RNAcentral.
UACUGCAGCUUUUCUCACGCUCGGAGGUGCAAUGAAAACUGACCACUUCUCUAAUGACUUCCAUCUGGGCUGAGACAUGGAGAGCCAGCUGCCUCCCGGAGAUCAUCACUUGGAUAAGGAGCUUAAACUACACCCUGUCCUUCAUAAGCCUGUGUCUACCUCUAGGACUUCACAUCAAAAGAGGGCUUGCUAUUUGCCACACAAUGAAAAAAAAAAAAAAAGUUGAAAUGCACGAUCUCAUUUAACCCUCGUGAUAACCAAUCACAUGAGAUGUUUACUAUCUUUGAUGAAGAAAUUAAGUCUUAGAGCAGUUCCCUAAGCUCCAAGAGAUUAGAGACUGCCUUGUUCUGCUGGUGCUUCAACUUGAUGGGUGUGCAACACAAGCAGAUACUGAAUAAAUUCAUUCUAAACCGCUAAAACAACAGCUGACAAAAUUCUAUAUUAUGAUGUUUAUAGCUUUUUGUCCCCACAUCUUACUAAGAGUCAUGCAUUCACUAGAAGCUUUCAAAUAAUGCUUCUGGAAAAGCUUACCCAGGACCCUCCAUAACGAGCUGGUACAAGACUCCUUUUUCAGGCAGCAGCAACCAAGAGAGCACCCUGAAUUGCUGUUCAUUGGACCCCAACCCCACACUACCAAGUUUCCAUCUACCUGUCAAACCUCAGGGUCUGUGCCUUCUCCCUUAAAAGCACUGGCUUCCAGAUGGUAAGGUGCUCAGGUGCUUUGUACUAUUUCAGUGUUUUGCUUUUAAGUUGUGAUUGCUCCACGACCACUGCUAUGAUUCAACUGACUUUUCUCAUAGUUUCCAAACAGCAGCCAAGGAGCUGGGUUUUGAACUUGAAGCAGAGACAAAGCUUAUGAACCUGGGUGCUCCCAGGUUGAUUAAGGCACAGCUUCCAAAGACUUCUACCCAGGAGCAAACAGCGUCCCCCAGCGAAACACUAUUCAUUUGAGACCGAAACUGUUCCCACGUGACUUUACCUCUUGGACCACUCUGGCAUCCAGGAGGAGUCUCUGCAGCAUCCUAGCGGGACCUCACCUACCAAUGGCCUCUGCAGUGCUCUCAGUCACCCCACUAGGUAUUGGUUCCUUAACUGGAUUCAAAAUUCCUAAAUGCAAGAGAGCGUCUCUUCCUUGGAAUGGAAACAUGUGCUUCCUGUAAGUAGAGAAAUGGUUUAUUUGAACCAUGAAGAAAAAUCACCCAAAUCAAGCUUAAGGACUUCUCAAAAAGUCAAGUGAUUAAAAAUUGUUUCUUUUUUUUUGUGUGUGUGUGAUGCCUAAAGCUAAAAUUUUAUUGAUGACUCCUGAAGAUUAACUAUCAGAAUCAGAGAAACACUCAAGAGAGGCUGCUCUAUUUGAAGAAAACUGAAGUAAAACAAUUCUAUGAGCAAGGUUCAAGCUCCCUCUUCUCUAAUCCCCUUUGGCAAAAUAUUUGCUAACACAGUAAAGCAGACGGAAAUAAACUUUGUUAUGAGAGUUUCAUAAAAGGAGCUACUUGCCCGGUUCAGGUUUCUAUACUUCACCAUACUUUAAAGGGGAUCCUUUAAAUCCAAGACAGUAAGAAAUGACGAAAAAUAUUGUUGACAAUAAAUGAACCCAUACUCUGUACUGUGUAUUACAUGCACGACACACAGUGGUUGGUAUCAUUACUAUUGAUUCCAAUAUGUAUAGAAAAGCUAUUUUGAGCCAAAAUUUCCUUUUAUGCUGCUGACUUUUCUAAAAUUUGGGCCACAAACUAUAUUCACAGAGAGUUCCUGGAUACAGCCAUCAUGAUAUCAUCAUUCUAUCACCAAGGUAGAGUUGGUGUCUUGAGUAGAAGCUUAAAUUUGGAGGUCUCCAAAUCUAAACGUCUGACAAGGCUCCUUUUCCUCCUAAGUUGUUUAAAAUUGAGUAGAUUAUACACACAGUAAACUGCUUAAAUCUUAAGUACCCAGCUUAAUUAUUUUUGUAUACCUACACAUCCAUGGAACUAUCAUGGAGACAAGAUGUAAACUAUUUCCAGCCUUCUAGAAGCCUUCCUGGUGCCAAUUUGCAGUCCCCCUUCUUCUAUCACUAUUCACUAUUAAUAAGAUAAUCACUAUUCUUCUAUCACCGUGAGUUAGUUUUAACUAUCUGUAAACUUUGUAUAAAAUGGAAUCAUAAUUAUAUUCUUUUGUGCCUAUUUCCUUUUCUGCCCCCCUUUUUUCUAUUUACAGCCUCACCUGAGGCAUGUGGAAGUUCCCAGGCUAGGGCUCGAAUCAGAGCUUCAGCUGCCGGCCUACGCCACAGCCACAGCAAAGCAGGAUCUGAGCCCCAUCUGUGACCUACGCCAAAGCUUGCAGCAACACCAGAUCCUUAACCCCCUGAGCGGAGCCGGGGAUUGAACCUGCAUCCUCAUGGAGAUGUGUUGGGUUCUUAACCCACUGAACCACAACAGGAACUCCCCUGUCUUCUUUCACUCAACAUGAUUUCUGUGAGUUUCAUCCAUGUUGUUGCCUGUGACAACAGCUGGCUCUUUUCCAGUGUUUUGUAAUAUUCUUUUGUUGAUGGACAUUGGAGUUUGUUAAAAUCUUUGGUUAUUAUGAAUAAAGCUACUGUGAAC